Molecule: non-coding RNA, 25 nt
Filed under: Drosophila melanogaster (fruit fly)
Lineage: Eukaryota; Metazoa; Arthropoda; Insecta; Diptera; Drosophilidae
Source: RNAcentral
UUAGAUUGUAGUCUAUGGGGAAAUC